Molecule: ribosomal RNA, 450 nt
Filed under: uncultured bacterium
Lineage: Bacteria
Description: partial 16S ribosomal RNA
Rfam family: Bacterial small subunit ribosomal RNA
Source: RNAcentral
GUGAGGAAUAUUGGACAAUGGGCGCAAGCCUGAUCCAGCAAUGCCGCGUGCAGGAAGAAGGCCUUCGGGUUGUAAACUGCUUUUGUACGGAACGAAACGGUCCUGGUUAAUACCUGGGGCUAAUGACGGUACCGUAAGAAUAAGCACCGGCUAACUACGUGCCAGCAGCCGCGGUAAUACGUAGGGUGCGAGCGUUAAUCGGAAUUACUGGGCGUAAAGCGUGCGCAGGCGGUGCUGUAAGACAGGCGUGAAAUCCCCGGGCUCAACCUGGGAAUUGCGCUUGUGACUGCAGUGCUGGAGUACGGCAGAGGGGGAUGGAAUUCCGCGUGUAGCAGUGAAAUGCGUAGAUAUGCGGAGGAACACCGAUGGCGAAGGCAGUCCCCUGGGCCUGUACUGACGCUCAUGCACGAAAGCGUGGGGAGCAAACAGGAUUAGAUACCCCUGUAGUCC